GGCGAACGCUGGCGGCGUGCCUAAUACAUGCAAGUCGAGCGGACGAAUCGAAAGCUUGCUUUUGAUUCGUUAGCGGCGGACGGGUGAGUAACACGUGGGCAACCUGCCCUGUAGACGGGGAUAACACCGAGAAAUCGGUGCUAAUACCGGAUAACACGAAAUGUCGCAUGACGUUUCGUUGAAAGACGGCGCAAGCUGCCGCUACAGGAUGGGCCCGCGGCGCAUUAGCUAGUUGGUGAGGUAACGGCUCACCAAGGCGACGAUACGUAGCCGACCUGAGAGGGUGAUCGGCCACACUGGGACUGAGACACGGCCCAGACUCCUACGGGAGGCUGCAGUAGGGAAUCUUCCGCAAUGGACGAAAGUCUGACGGAGCAACGCCGCGUGAGCGAAGAAGGCCUUCGGGUCGUAAAGCUCUGUUGUUAGGGAAGAACAAGUAACGCAGUAACUGGCGUUACCGUGACGGUACCUAACGAGAAAGCCACGGCUAACUACGUG
RNAcentral lists this ribosomal RNA (498 nucleotides) under uncultured bacterium. RNAcentral's name for it is "partial 16S ribosomal RNA". It matches the Rfam family "Bacterial small subunit ribosomal RNA", at positions 28 to 507 of the family's 1533-position model. The record is from RNAcentral.